AAAUAUUUACAAGCAGCGAAAUAGUUUUUGAAAUCAAAAUCCAAAGUAUUCAAACAUCAAAAUACACUGGGGCUAUGAGGUCUAUCAGACAUAGCUCAUACCCCUGUGGUAUUCUCGGCAGACACCUAUACAAAUGCACUGCCCCAAGAAUUUUAACUCCCACAUCACAUCAAAAAGUGGUACAUGGAACCCAUCCAAAUAAAAUGUCAAGCUAACAAUAUUGGUAUAGGUACAGUCUUCCAAAUUAAAAUAAACACAACCCAAAAAGAAAGACAUCUAGUCCCUAUACGUCAACCUAAUCUGAUCAUUCUACACAAAAUUAUACAUCCUAGAUGAUCUUCACCCGCCCCGCAAGAUCCUCCUAACACAGCUCCAGUCAGGUGUGUCCAACUACCUUCCCAUCUACAGGGUAUUAACCGAUAGGAUGAUCCUGGUUCUCAUCUGAGGGCAAAGCUCAGAUUUCCACAAUAGUUGUAAAGGGUCACCAACUGAAAUUAACAAUUAACACAUAACAUUUAAGUUUUUAAAUGCACAAAAUAACAUUUCAACUUAGCAUGCACCUUAAAAGGGUUUCUAUAUUCCAAACAUGCAUAAACAAGGUUGAAAAAUGAAGUUUUGAACAAAACUGCGCUGUUGUAUUUGAAUACAACAUCUCUGUAUUCGAAUACUAGGCUGUUUCAGCAGUCAGCAGCAAAAACAACAUGUUUGUAUUCAAAUACAGCCUUCUGUAUUCGACUACACAUAAGUCAGCAGCAAAAACAACAUGUUUGUAUUCGAAUACAACCUUCUGUAUUCGAAUACACAUCAGACAGCAUCAGAAAAACAACAAAAUUCAGCUUUUAAAAGGAUUUUGAAAUCAAUCAAUACUUACACACAAAUCCAAACAAUCACACUUAGCAAUUAUAGCACAAUCACCAUGACGACUUGAGUUUCGAAAAGGUUUUGGAAUCAAUCACACUUACACACAAUUUCAAAACAUUAACACUUAUCAAUUAUAGCACAAUCACCACGACAACUUGAGUUUCGAAAUGGUUUUGCAAUCAAUCACACUUACACACAAUUCCACAACAUCCACACUUCACAAUUAUAACACAAUCACCAUGACAACUUGAGUUCAAACACUCAAUCAUAAUAUUGAAUCAAACAUGACUCGCGUGCCAAGCACCCUAACGAAAUGCGUAUAUGCCAAAAUGCAUGGACUCGAAAUUCCAAACCAAAACCCUCAUCGAAGGGGCGUAAAUCAUAAUUGUAUCGCCUAUCACAGGCCUUAUACAAAUUAUCAAGGUGCCACCCAUCACAGGCCCACACGACUUACUAAAGUGUCGCCUAUAACAUGCCUUACACUAUUUUCUAGAGUGCAAUCGCUCACAGAUCAACACGUUCUAGAGUGCAAUCUCUCACAGAUCAGCACGACGCGAUAAUCUCCGUAAGGAUAAGAUGAACCAACAAAUCACAUGGAAUCAUCUCGUGGCUCAUCCGGUCACCACUAUCACCAUGGCCCAUCCGGUCGCCAUGUACAAUGAAAUGCAUGAGCAUACUCUGACUUUAUCCAUGACAAUCAUUAAGUAAAUGCAGAUAUUAAAAGAUUCUCCAUUUUUAAUACUCAUUUAACUCUAACGAUUUUCACGAUAAUUCAUUAAGUAAACACAGAUAUUAAAAGAUUCCCCAUUUUUAAUACUCGUUUAACUCUAAUGAUUUUCAAAUUCCACACAGAGCAUACUCAAACAUUUAUUUUCCACCACACACAUCAAAUUUAAUCCACAAUAUACAUUAAAUUCGAUCAAAUCAAAUUCCACAAAAUCCACAACAAAUUCAAUCAUCAAUCACCCAUAAUUUCCACAUUUUCAACAUGAAUCAUGACAAAUCAAGUGUCACAAACCACACCUCAAACAUCUCAAAUUUUAUUUCCUCAAAACAGACAUAAAUGAAUCAAACUCAUUUCCCACCAAUUCACAUAAGUUUCUUCUUCAAAAUUUCAUAAUUUUAAUUUAUGAACACAUCAGAUUUCUUUUCCUCAACAACACAUAGAUGAAUCAAAUCCUUUUCCAUGAAAACACUCAUCAAUUUCACUAAAAACCCAACUCCAAACUUUCACCCAUAAAAGUAUUAAAUUCAUUUUCCCCAAAUCUACACUUCAAACCCAACAAAUUUAUUUUCCACACAACCACAAAUAAGUCCCUAAAUGCAAACUAAAAGUUUGGAAGGAGCCCUUACCUUUACGAUAGCUCUAACGUGCGAUUACCGUAAUUAAUUCCGAUAAAAUCUCUACUCGUGACGUCGCUUCCAAAGUUAGUUCACUAGCACCGUAGCAUGUAGGUGAGCAACUUUCCCUUCUAUCACUUCUCGAAACGAAGCUCAAACGUCGAAGAAAAGUGGAGUUUUGUGAUUGACGGUUUUGAAAAUCUUUAAUACCGUUUUUCUCCAUUUUUGAAUCAAAGAAGAAGAAGAAAGCUGAAAAUUUGUUCUUUCUCACCCACUAAGCCUUGAGUUUCUUUUCUUGAAGCAAAAGAAGGCAAAAGAAAGUGGAAGUAAGGAGGAAGAAGAAGAAGGGUUCUCGCAAGGCUGGGAGGAAGACGCUUUCUUCCCUCUGUUUCCUUGUUU
Molecule: long non-coding RNA, 2601 nt
Filed under: Cicer arietinum (chickpea)
Lineage: Eukaryota; Viridiplantae; Streptophyta; Magnoliopsida; Fabales; Fabaceae
Description: long non-coding RNA (CARI_LNC000474)
Source: RNAcentral